This 209-nucleotide unclassified non-coding RNA is filed under the name soil metagenome. RNAcentral's name for it is "partial contains 5.8S ribosomal RNA, internal transcribed spacer 2, and large subunit ribosomal RNA". The record is from RNAcentral.
AACCAUUCUCACCUGCGGCUAGACCUGCGGAGGGAUCAUUACCGAGUUUACAACUCCCAAACCCCUGUGAACAUACCUAUACGUUGCCUCGGCGGAUCAGCCCGCGCCCUGUAAAAAGGGACGGCCCGCCCGAGGACCCCUAAACUCUGUUUUUAGUGGAACUUCUGAGUAAAACAAACAAAUAAAUCAAAACUUUUAGCAAUGGAUCU